AAGGUGUGUGUCCUCUCUCACUGUAUCGUCGAAAUAACCAGCUAAUUAAUGUCUGUUGCUGAACUGGCUACUCUUUUUUUCCACAUAUUCAGGGGACCCUUGAGCAGCUGGAGUUUGUCCCCAGUGAAUCUGCCAACUGUGAGUGCUUAGUAUGCUGCUACAUUGAUCCUCCUGCCCGGAGCCUUGAAGGUUUCAUCACACACCUCUCUCGUGAAGAUCAUCCACAGCUUCCUCGCAUUGUUUGGAAGCAACCAACGCACCUUAUCAAUCUUAAGCCUCCCUUGCCUCCCCUUCCUCUCAUUGCUUGGAAGGGACCAAAGCACCUUAGGAAUGUUGAGCCAUUGUCUCCCCCUUAAUUCUACUCCUCUCAUGGUGAGUGAAGCAAACCAAGGUUGUGUUUUUUUAAAAAAAAUCUGCUAACGUUGACAAAGGCUUUGAAAAAUCCACCAGGCAUCUCUCUAGUAGAGCACAUCAGCGGAAGGUAAUCAAAGAAUCCUAGCCAAACCGGACGGGCUUAUAAUUGUAUCAAUAGGUUUUUGUCAUUGUCUUGACUAUUUUUGAGUCAAUAAAACAAACUCUUAACCACUACUAGUUUCCCUUUCUCACUUGUAGUUUCGUUUGCCUAAUUUUCACCCCGUGUGCAUUUUUUUUUCAAGCAGAAGUUGGGACUUUCUCGCUACCAUGGCGACGAAGCAACCAAAGACAAGUUUUAAUAUCUGAUAACGUUGAGAUGUGUCUGGGGUUUUUCUUAAUGAUAACUAAAACAUUGUAGCGAAAGUGCAAGAAACUGUUGAGAUGAAUGCUUGUGAUUCUACGUUAUACCAAUUUAUCUACUAAUCGGUAAAUUGUAAUGGUA
This is a non-coding RNA of Camelina sativa (false flax), 856 nucleotides long. Lineage: Eukaryota; Viridiplantae; Streptophyta; Magnoliopsida; Brassicales; Brassicaceae. The record is from RefSeq and is a predicted model, not a curated record.